GUUGUCGGAUUCACUUCAAUCUAUAUGUGUUGGUGUGGAUUGGGGUAAAAUUUAGUUCAAGUUCCAAUCCAAUCCACUUCAACACAUGUGGAUUGAUGUGAAUCCGACU
Molecule: microRNA precursor, 109 nt
Organism: Sorghum bicolor (sorghum)
Lineage: Eukaryota; Viridiplantae; Streptophyta; Magnoliopsida; Poales; Poaceae
Rfam family: MIR5565 microRNA precursor family
Source: Rfam